CUUCUGUCCAACUAAGAAGGUUCAGAGGACCACGGGAAGAACAGAUCUGAGAGGUCUCGUAGCAGGUUCACACAGACUCUUAAUAGGUCAGCAAGGUGCAGAGAAAAAUAGCCUGGACCUGCACAGAAGAGCUGACACCAAGCAAGCAACUGGCUGCAUCCACUGAAUUGUUGAAGGAGAGAAAACAGGAAGGACAGAGAUAUGAGUAACAAAGUAUCUACUAAAAAUGAGUAAGAGACAAGAAGAAACAUCGCCAUCGUGCAGAGGGAAAGAAUGCCUAAACCGGUGCACUCUUCAUGGGAGGAUUCAAAUGAAAACCAAGGACAGCUUCUAUUUAUCAGACUUGAUAAGCAGUUGAAGAUACGUUUCAUAUAUGGCCGGUGGCAGUGCAAUUUGUUCCAGCUCCCAUGGAAAAAUAAGGUUCUGUCUUACCAAAAAUGAAGGGCCAGGGAUUUAACUCAGUGGUUCCAGCACCUGCCUUGCAAGCACAAGGUUCCAAGUUCAAUCCCCAGUACCAAAAAAAAAUAAAAAUAAAAAUAAAAGUUCACAUACUCUUUGACUAAAACAGCUACUGUUGAUAAACUCACCACUGAUUCAAUGAGGCAUGAACAUGAUUAUUUACUAGCAUGUGGUUUGUCAUGGGAAUAGAGAC
Heterocephalus glaber (naked mole-rat) is the source of this 652-nucleotide non-coding RNA. NCBI's taxonomy places the organism in Eukaryota, Metazoa, Chordata, Mammalia, Rodentia, Bathyergidae. The record is from RefSeq and is a predicted model, not a curated record.